UUAAAUACCCAGCUCUCCUCAGCCUGAUUACAACAGGCUUUAGAGCUCUGUCACAUUGUCACCCAGGAGGAAUAUGACAGCAAACAAUUCUGUAGAAGGAAGAAAUCCCGUGUUUGCACUUUAUGUAAUUCCCAUGUAAGUGGGAAGCCUGAGUUGGUGGAAAUCUGGCUUGAGCAUCCAGAAUAUGCAGUUCCUUGGAGACCCACCAAGAGGGGACUGAAGCAGAAGACAUGAUGUCACCUUCAAGGGGGAGACUUUUCAGCUGUCUGGAGCGGGGAGCUAGAACCACUGACCUCAAACCCCAAGGAGAGGCCAGAACAAAGCUCCAAAUGAGAUGCAGUGCAGAUUCCAGACCUCCAGAUCCUAGUUAGCCUGAGGGGGAGCUAGCUCCAAGCAGCCUAGAAGGUCUCUGGGUAUCCUGUGCCCCCACCCACAGAGUUUAGGAGCCCAGGGCUAUAUAGCCAGUGCAGAACCAGACCUAAGAUAAUUCAAGGGUUACCAAGCCAGGGCUUUCUAGAUCUUUCUCUCACAAAGGGAGAGGAG
RNAcentral lists this long non-coding RNA (543 nucleotides) under Mus pahari (shrew mouse). RNAcentral's name for it is "predicted gene 28676 (MGP_PahariEiJ_G0004873.1)". Lineage: Eukaryota; Metazoa; Chordata; Mammalia; Rodentia; Muridae. The record is from RNAcentral.